CUAGUUAACGACCGACACGGCGUAGAGUUGAAGAUCGAAGUGAAAAAAGUGAAAAAUUUCCACUACGACUUCCGUAAUAUCAAAGGGAAAUACGUAAUAUAGGUCACUCCAGAACAACUUCGACUCCACAACUGCACCAUAACGUUCAAAUGCAGAAUAAAAAACACCAGAAAAGACCCCAUUUUCGUCACAAACACAAACUUACUCCACCCUUCACACUACUUCGACAUUAUCCACGACAACUGCUUCGGAGACGACGAAUCCACGUUCAUCAAAAUAGCACCAGGUCAUGUGUACCCGUUCAAAGUAACUUUCACGACGGACGUUUUGUCCUGCGCUAGUUACAAGAUUCCGUUGUCUUGUGAUUUUCAAACCUCUGACAAUAAAGAUAAUUUUACGAUAGUGAGGACAUUCUUGACGAUCAUUGCUGACAACAUUGCAGCUGAAGAGGAAAAAACUAAGAGCCCGUUCACGAGUCAGCCGUGGAAGGACGUUCACACGACUCCUACCACAAAGUCGACACAAUAUAGGGAUAAGUAUCAAGUUCCAGGGAAGCUGAAACGGCUGCUGAACUAUAGGUUGCAAAAGAUUUAGGUCAUGUGUACCCGUUUUUUUUUAAUCGUCG
Zophobas morio is the source of this 625-nucleotide long non-coding RNA. RefSeq lists it as uncharacterized. The transcript has 5 exons. Lineage: Eukaryota; Metazoa; Arthropoda; Insecta; Coleoptera; Tenebrionidae. The record is from RefSeq and is a predicted model, not a curated record.